Molecule: long non-coding RNA, 1333 nt
Organism: Ictalurus punctatus (channel catfish)
Lineage: Eukaryota; Metazoa; Chordata; Actinopteri; Siluriformes; Ictaluridae
Source: Ensembl
AGUAAACUGACAGUGAGUCAGCCCUGCAGCCGCCCUCAAGCUCCGCGCACCCGUCUGCCUGAGCGGGUGUUCACCACGAGGUGAGCGAAAACAGAAGAAAAGCAGAAAACACUGUAUCUCCGAAGAAAUCAUUCAUCUAUGAGACUCUUGUUUAGUGACUGAGUCCAGGAUCACGUCAAAGAUCGUGAGAAGAAGCUAAAACCUGUAGAUGCUCAUGGCCGAGUAUGUCUCUACACUGACUGGCAGCCAUAUCAGUUGAUGUCAUACCAUCAGCAACCAUGACAUCCGUAUACAGCUCCAACGAUGGCGUCUUUCCCACAUCUUUUAACUAUUUUCCCCAUGUCCUCCUUGUUUAAUGUAAGAAUUGGAUCAUUCAUUUCUGUAUUGGAAAAAAAAAAAACCCAUAAAGCUAAUUUGUUUGGUUGACUGGUCGAUUUCCUGGUUUUUGAGAAGAUACAGAUUCCUCUGAGAUGUGAUGUGGCGGUGGUUUUUACAUUUCCAGAUGAUAUUUGAUAUAGGGAAGUUCAGAUUUAAUAGACAACCGAAGCAUUGUGGAAGCAAAGAAAUAAUCAACAAAGGCAUGGCUGUGGUGGGUUAAACAGGAAGUGGGCCAUCACUGACACUUUAUUUCCUCUUGUGAGUGGACCUGGUGUGCAGACCAAUCAAUUCUACAGUACCAUGAGUCACCGAAUUGUGUUAGUGUAGCACCCUCCCUUCAUACAUUCUGCUACACAGGCUUUUAGACCUGAUGAGCAAAUGUGUGCCUCAUGCAAUGACUGACCUAAUUUCAGCUCGUCACUGUGUAGAGUUGCUAAGUGAGCAAACAAUAUCGAAAGGCAAGACAAAUAUAUACCGUAGACCUUUGCACAUUUAUAAGUGGAGUAAGGAAUAACCCAAGAUAAGGCGGAGUUACUGUUACCACCACAACACUGAUUAUUUUCUUAUAACACGACCGAAUGUUUUAUUCCUCUUAUAGCGCGGCAAUUUGCCAACUAUUACAAUUUUUCAUUUAGUAAAGCAUUUUGAAAAAAUGUCCUCGUAGAAAACUCCACAUCAACAUACAACACAUACAUUUACCUUGCAUUAUACUACAGCGUGGUUGAUCUCUCAAAUCUGAUUGGUCAGAAGGUGUGCAUUAUUUGUGUAUAACCUCACAGCUCAGACGGUGGUUCCGACCGUAACAUGAAUGACAGGUUUAUAGAGUAUUAAUGCGCUCGUUCUGAUAUGUUAUCGUUGCUACAGUAACUGCUCAUAUGUAGGGACUCGUACAGCGGAGACUCUGAAUAAUCGAAUACUAAUAACAAACAGAUUAUUAGAGGGAGUGUGGAUUUUU